This 697-nucleotide long non-coding RNA is filed under the name Vulpes vulpes (red fox). Its description in RNAcentral is "lncRNA (ENSVVUG00000008567.1)". The record is from RNAcentral. Lineage: Eukaryota; Metazoa; Chordata; Mammalia; Carnivora; Canidae.
UUUAGCAACUAGGAUUUAUAUGGCCUUCCUGACUAAAGUGUUAACUUGUGAUUGAAAAGUCAUGUUUUCUAAGAAUAUACGCAAUACUAUAAAACAUAUUUAAAUUAAUGGAUCUAGUUUCUUAUGUAUGCUCUAAAAAGCACGUGCAACAAUUUUCCCCAGUAAAUGAAAUAAAGCUUCUAUCUAUUUAUUUCAGCCUUAGGAAGAAAUGACUGGAUUGAGUUUAACCAAAUAGAGAUGGUGAAAUUAAAAUAGAGGCCAUGGUUAUCAAGUACAUCAACAAAAUAGGCAGUCACGCUUCAGAAGAGAAACAGAGAUGCACACAGAGAUUGGAAGAAAUUAAGACAAUUAUUCAAGGGUCCAUGACUAUACCAGGAAAAAUGUUAAGAAAAAUCUCUCUGAGCCUGUUUCAUAGAAUGAGGCUUGCCUUGGAGCAUCCCAGGACUAUUGGCUAAAUUAGCUUUAAGCAUAAAAAUAACCAUGAAGAGAACAGGAAGAAAAGGCCUCAAUUUCCAACAAGAUAACCUGUGGGAAUAAGGAUAUGUUGACCUGCAUUUUCUGACCACUUCCGGCCUGAGUUCCAGGGAAGAGAGUCCUGUUAGGAGGAUUUUCAAUUUCUCAAGGACAAAAGGUCUUUUAUUUCAUUUUCUACUUGGGUCUUUAACAGGCAUGUCCUUUUCAUGGGAUUGUACUAAAG